This is a long non-coding RNA of Heterocephalus glaber (naked mole-rat), 1035 nucleotides long. The record is from Ensembl. NCBI's taxonomy places the organism in Eukaryota, Metazoa, Chordata, Mammalia, Rodentia, Bathyergidae.
GAGGGCACCAAGUCCCUUGCAUGGUCUCCUGGGGACUGAGCCAGGCAGGGCUCACGUGUGACAGGUGAGGAGGGAGGAAAGCAGCGCCCCUAGGACUUGGGCACCCUGCCCAAGGUCACACUGCUUUUAAUGCCAAAAACGAGUGUGGCAGAUGACAUCAUCAGUGUGCAUCCUUCAGCACAAGGACAGUGUUGAAUUCUCCACAUGGUCUGCCAUUAGUCACCGUUCCUGGUGGAGCAGAACUGAGGUUGGGUGUGAUGGUCCCAAGCUCACAUUCACAGCCUCAGUUCCAGCAGCAAGGAGGCCGCGACAGGAGGAUUGCUGAAGCUGAAGCCACCUGUACCUCCGCCCGCACUGCACAGGACCCCUCCUCCCUCCGCAUCUGCUCUACGGUCUGUGCUGACUGUCCCGACCAGUUUUUGCCAAUGAAUCAGGAGUAAAAUGGUUUUCACUAUGGUUUGAAUUUCGUCUCGGAUUAGCGGGAAUGUGGGGCAGGUUUCAUGUGAUUUCAAACCUUCAGAUGUCCUUACUACGCCUCUUAGUGGUUUUUUUGCCUGUUUUUCUACAGGAUCUUUUGCUGUCCUCUAAUUUCUAGGUGUGCUUUAUAUAUUUUAUAUUUUAUAUUCUGUCAGUGUUUCUCUAGCAGGACCAUAUCCAUUCUUCGCCUUUGUUCAUCCACAUUUUAGAAACAGUUAACAAGUUUCAUGAAAAAUUUUCUUGAAGCUCUUACUAAACUUAUAUAAAAUCUAUAAAUCUAUUUGAAGAGAAUUGAAAUCAUAAUACCAAGCAUUCCAGUCCAUGAACGUAGUUUUAAAAUUUAUUUGGGCUGGACUUGGUGGCACACAGCUGUAGUCCCAGCACUCGGGAGGCUGAGGCAGGAAGAUUUCUGCACGUUUGAGGCCAGCCUCAGCUACAAAGUGAAUUAACUCCAGCCUGAACUAUAUAGCAAGAUCUUGUGUCCAAAAAACAACAAAAAAUUUAUCGGACCUUUAAUGUCAUCCAAUACAGUUUUAUACUUGCUUGAAUAGAAGUCUG